Molecule: ribosomal RNA, 2929 nt
Filed under: Bacillus anthracis (anthrax bacterium)
Lineage: Bacteria; Bacillati; Bacillota; Bacilli; Caryophanales; Bacillaceae
Description: bacterial LSU rRNA
Rfam family: Bacterial large subunit ribosomal RNA
Source: RNAcentral
UUUGGUUAAGUUAGAAAGGGCGCACGGUGGAUGCCUUGACACUAGGAGUCGAUGAAGGACGGGACUAACGCCGAUAUGCUUCGGGGAGCUGUAAGUAAGCUUUGAUCCGAAGAUUUCCGAAUGGGGAAACCCACCAUACGUAAUGGUAUGGUAUCCUUAUCUGAAUACAUAGGGUAAGGAAGACAGACCCAGGGAACUGAAACAUCUAAGUACCUGGAGGAAGAGAAAGCAAAUGCGAUUUCCUGAGUAGCGGCGAGCGAAACGGAACAUAGCCCAAACCAAGAGGCUUGCCUCUUGGGGUUGUAGGACAUUCUAUACGGAGUUACAAAGGAACGAGGUAGACGAAGCGACCUGGAAAGGUCCGUCGUAGAGGGUAACAACCCCGUAGUCGAAACUUCGUUCUCUCUUGAAUGUAUCCUGAGUACGGCGGAACACGUGAAAUUCCGUCGGAAUCUGGGAGGACCAUCUCCCAAGGCUAAAUACUCCCUAGUGAUCGAUAGUGAACCAGUACCGUGAGGGAAAGGUGAAAAGCACCCCGGAAGGGGAGUGAAAGAGAUCCUGAAACCGUGUGCCUACAAAUAGUCAGAGCCCGUUAAUGGGUGAUGGCGUGCCUUUUGUAGAAUGAACCGGCGAGUUACGAUCCCGUGCGAGGUUAAGCUGAAGAGGCGGAGCCGCAGCGAAAGCGAGUCUGAAUAGGGCGUUUAGUACGUGGUCGUAGACCCGAAACCAGGUGAUCUACCCAUGUCCAGGGUGAAGUUCAGGUAACACUGAAUGGAGGCCCGAACCCACGCACGUUGAAAAGUGCGGGGAUGAGGUGUGGGUAGCGGAGAAAUUCCAAUCGAACCUGGAGAUAGCUGGUUCUCCCCGAAAUAGCUUUAGGGCUAGCCUUAAGUGUAAGAGUCUUGGAGGUAGAGCACUGAUUGGACUAGGGGUCCUCAUCGGAUUACCGAAUUCAGUCAAACUCCGAAUGCCAAUGACUUAUCCUUAGGAGUCAGACUGCGAGUGAUAAGAUCCGUAGUCAAAAGGGAAACAGCCCAGACCGCCAGCUAAGGUCCCAAAGUGUGUAUUAAGUGGAAAAGGAUGUGGAGUUGCUUAGACAACUAGGAUGUUGGCUUAGAAGCAGCCACCAUUUAAAGAGUGCGUAAUAGCUCACUAGUCGAGUGACUCUGCGCCGAAAAUGUACCGGGGCUAAAUACACCACCGAAGCUGCGGAUUGAUACCAAUGGUAUCAGUGGUAGGGGAGCGUUCUAAGGACAGUGAAGUCAGACCGUAAGGACUGGUGGAGUGCUUAGAAGUGAGAAUGCCGGUAUGAGUAGCGAAAGACGGGUGAGAAUCCCGUCCACCGAAUGCCUAAGGUUUCCUGAGGAAGGCUCGUCCGCUCAGGGUUAGUCAGGACCUAAGCCGAGGCCGACAGGCGUAGGCGAUGGACAACAGGUUGAUAUUCCUGUACCACCUCUUUAUCGUUUGAGCAAUGGAGGGACGCAGAAGGAUAGAAGAAGCGUGCGAUUGGUUGUGCACGUCCAAGCAGUUAGGCUGAUAAGUAGGCAAAUCCGCUUAUCGUAAAGGCUGAGCUGUGAUGGGGAAGCUCCUUAUGGAGCGAAGUCUUUGAUUCCCCGCUGCCAAGAAAAGCUUCUAGCGAGAUAAAAGGUGCCUGUACCGCAAACCGACACAGGUAGGCGAGGAGAGAAUCCUAAGGUGUGCGAGAGAACUCUGGUUAAGGAACUCGGCAAAAUGACCCCGUAACUUCGGGAGAAGGGGUGCUUUCUUAACGGAAAGCCGCAGUGAAUAGGCCCAAGCGACUGUUUAGCAAAAACACAGCUCUCUGCGAAGCCGUAAGGCGAAGUAUAGGGGGUGACACCUGCCCGGUGCUGGAAGGUUAAGGAGAGGGGUUAGCGUAAGCGAAGCUCUGAACUGAAGCCCCAGUAAACGGCGGCCGUAACUAUAACGGUCCUAAGGUAGCGAAAUUCCUUGUCGGGUAAGUUCCGACCCGCACGAAAGGUGUAACGAUUUGGGCACUGUCUCAACCAGAGACUCGGUGAAAUUAUAGUACCUGUGAAGAUGCAGGUUACCCGCGACAGGACGGAAAGACCCCGUGGAGCUUUACUGUAGCCUGAUAUUGAAUUUUGGUACAGUUUGUACAGGAUAGGCGGGAGCCUUUGAAACCGGAGCGCUAGCUUCGGUGGAGGCGCUGGUGGGAUACCGCCCUGACUGUAUUGAAAUUCUAACCUACGGGUCUUAUCGACCCGGGAGACAGUGUCAGGUGGGCAGUUUGACUGGGGCGGUCGCCUCCUAAAGUGUAACGGAGGCGCCCAAAGGUUCCCUCAGAAUGGUUGGAAAUCAUUCGUAGAGUGCAAAGGCAUAAGGGAGCUUGACUGCGAGACCUACAAGUCGAGCAGGGACGAAAGUCGGGCUUAGUGAUCCGGUGGUUCCGCAUGGAAGGGCCAUCGCUCAACGGAUAAAAGCUACCCCGGGGAUAACAGGCUUAUCUCCCCCAAGAGUCCACAUCGACGGGGAGGUUUGGCACCUCGAUGUCGGCUCAUCGCAUCCUGGGGCUGUAGUCGGUCCCAAGGGUUGGGCUGUUCGCCCAUUAAAGCGGUACGCGAGCUGGGUUCAGAACGUCGUGAGACAGUUCGGUCCCUAUCCGUCGUGGGCGUAGGAAAUUUGAGAGGAGCUGUCCUUAGUACGAGAGGACCGGGAUGGACGCACCGCUGGUGUACCAGUUGUUCUGCCAAGGGCAUAGCUGGGUAGCUAUGUGCGGAAGGGAUAAGUGCUGAAAGCAUCUAAGCAUGAAGCCCCCCUCAAGAUGAGAUUUCCCAUAGCGUAAGCUAGUAAGAUCCCUGAAAGAUGAUCAGGUUGAUAGGUUCGAGGUGGAAGCAUGGUGACAUGUGGAGCUGACGAAUACUAAUAGAUCGAGGUCUUAACCAUAUAA